RNAcentral lists this ribosomal RNA (778 nucleotides) under uncultured Arthrobacter sp. RNAcentral's name for it is "bacterial SSU rRNA". It matches the Rfam family "Bacterial small subunit ribosomal RNA", at positions 8 to 796 of the family's 1533-position model. The record is from RNAcentral. Lineage: Bacteria; Bacillati; Actinomycetota; Actinomycetes; Micrococcales; Micrococcaceae.
AGAGUUUGAUCCUGGCUCAGGACGAACGCUUGCGACGUGCCUGAGAAAUGCAAGUCGAGCGGUGGGAGACCUUUCGGGGUUUCCUAUAGCGGCGAACGGUCGAGUAACACGUAACCAACCUGCCCUUGAGUCUGGGAUAGCCCGCCGAAAGGCGGCGUAAUACCGGAUGGUUUCCUAUCUCCGCAUGGUGUUUAGGAAUAAAGCUUUAUGUGCUUGAGGAGGGGGUUGCGGCCUAUCAGCUGGUUGGUGAGGUAACGGCUCACCAAGGCGACGACGGGUAGCCGGCCUGAGAGGGUGACCGGCCACACUGGGACUGAGACACGGCCCAGACUCCUACGGGAGGCAGCAGUGGGGAAUAUUGCACAAUGGGCGAAAGCCUGAUGCAGCGACGCCGCGUGAGGGAUGACGGCCUUCGGGUUGUAAACCUCUUUCAGUAGGGAAGAAGCGAAAGUGACGGUACCUGCAGAAGAAGCGCCGGCUAACUACGUGCCAGCAGCCGCGGUAAUACGUAGGGCGCAAGCGUUAUCCGGAAUUAUUGGGCGUAAAGAGCUCGUAGGCGGUUUGUCGCGUCUGCCGUGAAAGUCCGGGGCUCAACUCCGGAUCUGCGGUGGGUACGGGCAGACUAGAGUGAUGUAGGGGAGACUGGAAUUCCUGGUGUAGCGGUGAAAUGCGCAGAUAUCAGGAGGAACACCGAUGGCGAAGGCAGGUCUCUGGGCAUUAACUGACGCUGAGGAGCGAAAGCAUGGGGAGCGAACAGGAUUAGAUACCCCGGUAGUCC